GGGUUGUGAGGUUAAGCGACUAAGCGUACACGGUGGAUGCCCUGGCAGUCAGAGGCGAUGAAGGACGUGCUAAUCUGCGAAAAGCGUCGGUAAGGUGAUAUGAACCGUUACAACCGGCGAUGUCCGAAUGGGGAAACCCAGUGCAAUUCGUUGCACUAUCGUUAACUGAAUACAUAGGUUAACGAGGCGAACCGGGGGAACUGAAACAUCUAAGUACCCCGAGGAAAAGAAAUCAACCGAGAUUCCCCCAGUAGCGGCGAGCGAACGGGGAGCAGCCCAGAGUCUGAAUCAGCUUGUGUGUUAGUGGAACGGUCUGGAAAGUCCGACGGUACAGGGUGAUAGUCCCGUACACCAAAAUGCACAGGCUGUGAACUCGAAGAGUAGGGCGGGACACGUGGUAUCCUGUCUGAAUAUGGGGGGACCAUCCUCCAAGGCUAAAUACUCCUGACUGACCGAUAGUGAACCAGUACCGUGAGGGAAAGGCGAAAAGAACCCCGGCGAGGGGAGUGAAAAAGAACCUGAAACCGUGUACGUACAAGCAGUGGGAGCACCUUCGGGUGUGACUGCGUACCUUUUGUAUAAUGGGUCAGCGACUUAUAUUCUGUAGCAAGGUUAACCGUAUAGGGGAGCCGCAGGGAAACCGAGUCUUAACUGGGCGUUAAGUUGCAGGGUAUAGACCCGAAACCCGGUGAUCUAGCCAUGGGCAGGUUGAAGGUUGGGUAACACUAACUGGAGGACCGAACCGACUAAUGUUGAAAAAUUAGCGGAUGACUUGUGGCUGGGGGUGAAAGGCCAAUCAAACCGGGAGAUAGCUGGUUCUCCCCGAAAGCUAUUUAGGUAGCGCCUCGUGAAUUCAUCUUCGGGGGUAGAGCACUGUUUCGGCUAGGGGGUCAUCCCGACUUACCAACCCGAUGCAAACUACGAAUACCGAAGAAUGUUAUCACGGGAGACACACGGCGGGUGCUAACGUCCGUCGUGAAGAGGGAAACAACCCAGACCGCCAGCUAAGGUCCCAAAGUCAUGGUUAAGUGGGAAACGAUGUGGGAAGGCACAGACAGCCAGGAUGUUGGCUUAGAAGCAGCCAUCAUUUAAAGAAAGCGUAAUAGCUCACUGGUCGAGUCGGCCUGCGCGGAAGAUGUAACGGGGCUAAACCAUGCACCGAAGCUGCGGCAGCGACACUAUGUGUUGUUGGGUAGGGGAGCGUUCUGUAAGCCUGCGAAGGUGGCCUGUGAGGGUUGCUGGAGGUAUCAGAAGUGCGAAUGCUGACAUAAGUAACGAUAAAGCGGGUGAAAAGCCCGCUCGCCGGAAGACCAAGGGUUCCUGUCCAACGUUAAUCGGGGCAGGGUGAGUCGACCCCUAAGGCGAGGCCGAAAGGCGUAGUCGAUGGGAAACAGGUUAAUAUUCCUGUACUUGGUGUUACUGCGAAGGGGGGACGGAGAAGGCUAUGUUAGCCGGGCGACGGUUGUCCCGGUUUAAGCAUGUAGGCUGGUUGUCCAGGCAAAUCCGGAUAAUCAAGGCUGAGGUGUGAUGACGAGGCACUACGGUGCUGAAGUAACAAAUGCCCUGCUUCCAGGAAAAGCCUCUAAGCAUCAGGUAACAUCAAAUCGUACCCCAAACCGACACAGGUGGUCAGGUAGAGAAUACCAAGGCGCUUGAGAGAACUCGGGUGAAGGAACUAGGCAAAAUGGUGCCGUAACUUCGGGAGAAGGCACGCUGGUGUGUAGGUGAAGCCCCUGCGGGUGGAGCUGAGACCAGUCGAAGAUACCAGCUGGCUGCAACUGUUUAUUAAAAACACAGCACUGUGCAAACACGAAAGUGGACGUAUACGGUGUGACGCCUGCCCGGUGCCGGAAGGUUAAUUGAUGGGGUUAUCCGUAAGGAGAAGCUCUUGAUCGAAGCCCCGGUAAACGGCGGCCGUAACUAUAACGGUCCUAAGGUAGCGAAAUUCCUUGUCGGGUAAGUUCCGACCUGCACGAAUGGCGUAAUGAUGGCCAGGCUGUCUCCACCCGAGACUCAGUGAAAUUGAACUCGCUGUGAAGAUGCAGUGUACCCGCGGCAAGACGGAAAGACCCCGUGAACCUUUACUAUAGCUUGACACUGAACAUUGAGCCUUGAUGUGUAGGAUAGGUGGGAGGCUUUGAAGCGUGGACGCCAGUCUGCGUGGAGCCAACCUUGAAAUACCACCCUUUAAUGUUUGAUGUUCUAACGUUGGCCCCUGACCGGGGUUGCGGACAGUGUCUGGUGGGUAGUUUGACUGGGGCGGUCUCCUCCCAAAGCGUAACGGAGGAGCACGAAGGUUAGCUAAUCCUGGUCGGACAUCAGGAGGUUAGUGCAAUGGCAUAAGCUAGCUUGACUGCGAGCGUGACGGCGCGAGCAGGUGCGAAAGCAGGUCAUAGUGAUCCGGUGGUUCUGAAUGGAAGGGCCAUCGCUCAACGGAUAAAAGGUACUCCGGGGAUAACAGGCUGAUACCGCCCAAGAGUUCAUAUCGACGGCGGUGUUUGGCACCUCGAUGUCGGCUCAUCACAUCCUGGGGCUGAAGUAGGUCCCAAGGGUAUGGCUGUUCGCCAUUUAAAGUGGUACGCGAGCUGGGUUUAGAACGUCGUGAGACAGUUCGGUCCCUAUCUGCCGUGGGCGCUGGAGAAUUGAGGGGGGCUGCUCCUAGUACGAGAGGACCGGAGUGGACGCAUCACUGGUGUUCGGGUUGUCAUGCCAAUGGCACUGCCCGGUAGCUAAAUGCGGAAGAGAUAAGUGCUGAAAGCAUCUAAGCACGAAACUUGCCCCGAGAUGAGUUCUCCCUGAGACUUUAAGUCUCCUGAAGGAACGUUGAAGACGACGACGUUGAUAGGCCGGGUGUGUAAGCGCAGCGAUGCGUUGAGCUAACCGGUACUAAUGAACCGUGAGGCUUAACCUUACAACGCCGAAG
RNAcentral lists this ribosomal RNA (2923 nucleotides) under Klebsiella pneumoniae subsp. pneumoniae. RNAcentral's name for it is "bacterial LSU rRNA". It matches the Rfam family "Bacterial large subunit ribosomal RNA". The record is from RNAcentral. Lineage: Bacteria; Pseudomonadati; Pseudomonadota; Gammaproteobacteria; Enterobacterales; Enterobacteriaceae.